UACGAAGGGGGCUAGCGUUGUUCGGAAUUACUGGGCGUAAAGCGCGCGCAGGCGGUCUUCCAAGUCAGUGGUGAAAGCCCGGAGCUCAACUCCGGAACUGCCAUUGAAACUGUAAGACUUGGAGGAUGAGAGAGGUGAGUGGAAUUCCCAGUGUAGAGGUGAAAUUCGUAGAUAUCGGGAGGAACACCAGUGGCGAAGGCGGCUUCCUGGCCUGUUCUUGACGCUGAGGCGCGAAAGCUAGGGGAGCAAACGGG
RNAcentral lists this ribosomal RNA (254 nucleotides) under uncultured bacterium. RNAcentral describes it as "partial 16S ribosomal RNA". It matches the Rfam family "Bacterial small subunit ribosomal RNA", at positions 524 to 776 of the family's 1533-position model. The record is from RNAcentral.